Molecule: transfer RNA, 71 nt
Filed under: Mycobacteroides abscessus subsp. abscessus
Lineage: Bacteria; Bacillati; Actinomycetota; Actinomycetes; Mycobacteriales; Mycobacteriaceae
Also listed under: 1 other name
Description: tRNA-Trp
Rfam family: tRNA
About the family: Transfer RNA (tRNA) molecules are approximately 80 nucleotides in length. Their secondary structure includes four short double-helical elements and three loops (D, anti-codon, and T loops).
Source: RNAcentral
UCGGAUGUGGUCCAGUGGCAGGACAGCGGCUUCCAAACCCGCCAACGGGAGUUCGAUUCUCUCCAUCCGGG